GAGAGAUCCGGCAUAGGAUGGACAUGCGUCGCAUUAGGUAGACGGCGGGGUAACGGCCCACCGUGCCGACGAUGCGUAGGGGUUCUGAGAGGAAGGCCCCCCACACUGGUACUGAGACACGGACCAGACUCCUACGGGAGGCAGCAGUGAGGAAUAUUGGUCAAUGGCCGAGAGGCUGAACCAGCCAAGUCGCGUGAGGGAAGAAUGUCCUAAGGAUUGUAAACCUCUUUUGUCGGGGAGCAAAAAGGCUCUGCGGAGUCGUAUUGAGAGUACCCGAAGAAAAAGCAUCGGCUAACUCCGUGCCAGCAGCCGCGGUAAUACGGAGGAUGCGAGCGUUAUCCGGAUUUAUUGGGUUUAAAGGGUGCGCAGGCGGCGUGUCAAGCAAGCGGUAAAAUAGCGGGGCUCAACCCCGUCGAGCCGUUUGAACUGGCGCGCUUGAGUUCAGGCGAGGUAGGCGGAAUUCGUGGUGUAGCGGUGAAAUGCAUAGAUAUCACGAAGAACUCCGAUUGCGAAGGCAGCUUACCAGUCUGCGACUGACGCUCAGGCACGAAAGUGUGGGUAUCGAACAGGACUAGAUACCCUGGUAGUCCACACAGUAAACGAUGAGCGCUAGGUGUCCGGGUCGCAUGAGACUUGG
RNAcentral lists this ribosomal RNA (637 nucleotides) under uncultured bacterium. RNAcentral describes it as "bacterial SSU rRNA". It matches the Rfam family "Bacterial small subunit ribosomal RNA", at positions 207 to 842 of the family's 1533-position model. The record is from RNAcentral.